GCGGGUAUAGCUCAGUUGGCUAGAGCGCAGCUCUGAUAAAGCUGAGGUCCUUGGUUCAAAUCCAAGUACCCGCAC
RNAcentral lists this transfer RNA (75 nucleotides) under Limnoglobus roseus. RNAcentral describes it as "tRNA-Ile". It matches the Rfam family "tRNA". From Rfam's summary of the family: Transfer RNA (tRNA) molecules are approximately 80 nucleotides in length. The record is from RNAcentral. Lineage: Bacteria; Pseudomonadati; Planctomycetota; Planctomycetia; Gemmatales; Gemmataceae.